UUUAUCAUCAAGGAAAAGUCAGAUUUUUUCCUUUUUAGGCUAUAAAUUUUAGUACUGAUUGGCCACAUGAAAUGUUUUUCAUAGGCUAAACUUGCUUCUGUUUUUUACUUUAUCUUAUUUUAUUUUAUUUUAUUUUGUUCAAUUUUCAUAAUGUUAUGCAUUAAAUACAGGCAGCAAGGCUGAAACCAAAAAGUAUACAAGAUAUCCAAAAUACAAAAUUAUGGAUCUCCUUGAGGGAAGCGAAUUAUUUCAAGCGCAAUCCCACUUGUAUAAGCAUGUAUUCAACUACAUAAAUUCCAUGUCUCUCAAAUGCGCAGUUGAGCUUGGCAUACCUGACAUAAUCCACAACCAUGGCCGACCCAUCACUCUCCCUGAUUUGGUCACAGCACUGGAGAUUCACCCUUCAAAAACUAGCUUCGUUUACAGGCUCAUGUCCCUCUUGGUACACUCCGGUUUCUUUGCUGCAACACUACCACUUGAUACAAAUCAAGAAAAAGGAGAUCACAAUGAAGAAGAAGAAGCAGCAUAUGAUCUCACCCCUUCUUCUAGGCUCCUCCUGAAAGAUAAGCUCCCCUGCCUGUCACCGUUUGUUCUUGCACUACUUGAUCCUUGUUUGACUACUCCAUGGCAAUUCAUGGGAAAUUGGUUUAAAGGGGACAGAGGGACUACUCCAUUUGAGAGUACACACGGUAUGCAAUUUUGGGAAUAUGCAGACCACAAUCCUGCAUAUAACAGCCUAUUCAAUGAAGCAAUGGCCUGUGAUUCUGAGAUGUUGAAAUUGGUUAUUAAAGACUGCAGACCUGUGUUCCAAGCUUGGGUUCGCUGGUUGAUGUAGGAGGUGGUACAGGAAAAUUUGCUAGGAUCAUCACCGAGACAUUCCCUCAGUUGAAGUGCACAGUGCUUGAGCUACCCCAUGUGGUUGCUAAUUUACCAGACACCCAAAACUUGAAGUUUAUUGCAGGUGAUAUGUUUCAGUCUAUUCCUUCAGCUGAUGCUCUUCUGCUUAAGUUGACUUUGCACUCGGAUAGCGACGAGGAAUGCUUGAAGAUUCUGAAGAAAUGCAGAGAAGCAAUUCCAAGCGAUGGAGGAAAGGUUAUUGUCAUAGAUAUAGUGAUUAAUAAGAAUGAAGAUGAGCACCAAGUGACUGGGACAAAGCUUUUGAUCGACGUGAUGAUGAUGUCUGCAGCUACUGGAAGAGAGAGAAGCCAGAGAGAUUGGGAAAAGCUUUUCUUGGGGUCUGGUUUCAGUCGCUACAACUUAUCACCCAUCUUUGGUUUAAAGUCUCUAAUUGAGAUUGGGCACACCAGGAAAAAAAAGGAAACGAAAAAAAGUUAUGGGUUUCGAAAAGCAGAACCUGGAUUUGUUCCUAGCCCCAAGCGGAUUGUUCCUCAUGUUUUCCUACCAUACCUUCCUACUCUACAGAUGUCUGCAUCUUCCUCAUACCACUGUCAUUGGCUACGAAAACAAUGACAAGAAAGCUUGGGUUGAUAGAGUUAUGCAGGUGGAUAAAAGAGAUGUUGGCACAGCUCUAUCGGUGAUCCAAUCAAACACAUCUGCAGCAACAUUUCUAUGUUCAGUCUCUCUGACCCUCAGUUCUCUUAUUGGUACUUGGCUCGGAAGCUCAUCGAAAGAUAGCAUCU
Ziziphus jujuba (common jujube) is the source of this 1640-nucleotide RNA transcript. It is a transcript of the gene named trans-resveratrol di-O-methyltransferase, with no coding region annotated. The record is from RefSeq and is a predicted model, not a curated record. Lineage: Eukaryota; Viridiplantae; Streptophyta; Magnoliopsida; Rosales; Rhamnaceae. The transcript is spliced from 4 exons.